CUCUCUGCCUUAUCCCAGCCCCUUGGUUGACGGUCGCCUCAGAGAAGCCCUGGAUGAGGCUGAAGACACAUCUAACAAGGAGGACACAGCACAGCACAAAUGCACACCACCACAGGACACAACCCGAUGACAGCAGACAAAGAGAGGCCGUACUCGGUCUUUGCUGGCGCAGGCGAAACAGAGCUGUCUGCAGUGGAAGGAGCAAGCUCAGGGGCUUGUCCACUGGCCCCAGCGGCGGGAGCAGGAGAGCCCAGGGCUGCAAAAACAUCCUUUGCAAGGGUUCCAAAUGGAGAACGUGCAAUGAAAGGAAAGGCACCAGCUGAUGGCGCAGGGUGGUGCAGCUGCUGGGUCCCUGGGCUGGAGCAGAGCCCAAACCUCAGCAAGGUGGACAGGUCUGCACUCACGAGAAGGCGGCCUUGCCCUCCUCCAUGUCCUUGCCCUUGGCCCCGGGCCCGGCUUUUCCACACAGGUUGACCGCAAUGCACAUGAACAGGCCACACUUGUUCAGGAAGUAGCAGGUGAUGUCCACAACCACCAGGAGCAGGACGAAGAUGACGAUGAGGAUGCCCACGAUGGCCCCGGUGCUCAGGCCUGAGGUGGGGCUGCCGUUGGCUUGAGUGGGAGAGAGAUGGCUGGUGGUUAACAGACUGAGAUGCGAGACCUCCAGACCCUGCCAGCAAAAGCCCCUGCGGGUGGGGAGGGCCCAGAGGACAGAGUCAUGGCAUUCAUGCCCAGAGUGACACCUUCCUGGGGACCUUCUAUGCCCCAGAAUUGAGAAAACAGGGUCUUUCUAUACCUUCCAGAGGGAGGGAUGACAACAUCAUCUCACAGAUUGGGGAACAGGGGUGAGCCUGGUCAGCUGGCCUCCCGUGAGUCCUGGGAGCAGACUGAGCCCCGCCUGUCUGAGAACACCGGAUAAUGAGGCAGUUGGAGGGCGCUGCUGUGUUUCCCCUGGACCAGGGCAAAAGGCUUUGCAGCACAGGCAGGCAGUGAUCACUGAUUUCAGGCGGGGCUGUGGCUCCUCAAGUGCUCAGGGAUAGGGGCCCAAAAUGGGGUGGUGGAGGGUUCCUGGGGCUUUCUU
Molecule: long non-coding RNA, 1081 nt
Organism: Homo sapiens (human)
Lineage: Eukaryota; Metazoa; Chordata; Mammalia; Primates; Hominidae
Gene: NCAM1-AS1
Product: NCAM1 antisense RNA1
Source: Ensembl